RNAcentral lists this ribosomal RNA (254 nucleotides) under uncultured bacterium. RNAcentral's name for it is "partial 16S ribosomal RNA". It matches the Rfam family "Bacterial small subunit ribosomal RNA", at positions 524 to 776 of the family's 1533-position model. The record is from RNAcentral.
UACGUAGGGGGCAAGCGUUGUCCGGAUUUAUUGGGCGUAAAGAGCUCGUAGGUGGUUCGGUAAGUCGGAUGUGAAAUCUCCAGGCUCAACCUGGAGGGGUCAUUCGAUACUGCCGUGACUAGAGUUCGGUAGGGGAGUGUGGAAUUCCUGGUGGAGCGGUGAAAUGCGCAGAUAUCAGGAGGAACACCAAUUGCGAAGGCAGCUCGCUGGGACGUUACUGACGCUGAGACGCGAAAGCGUGGGGAGCAAACAGG